Molecule: ribosomal RNA, 119 nt
Filed under: Lepisosteus oculatus (spotted gar)
Lineage: Eukaryota; Metazoa; Chordata; Actinopteri; Semionotiformes; Lepisosteidae
Source: RNAcentral
GCCAGCAGCCAUAUCACCCUGCAUCUCACAGCUGGCAGCCCACUGAAGCUCAGCAGGUGUGAGCCUGGUCAGUACCUGGAUGGGAGACCUCCUGGGAAAAACUAAGGUUGCUGCUAGGU